This is a long non-coding RNA of Harpia harpyja (harpy eagle), 1306 nucleotides long. RefSeq lists it as uncharacterized. NCBI's taxonomy places the organism in Eukaryota, Metazoa, Chordata, Aves, Accipitriformes, Accipitridae. The record is from RefSeq and is a predicted model, not a curated record. The transcript is spliced from 3 exons.
UUCCUUCUCUAAAUGCUUCACCCCCUCCCUGCAGUGGGGAGAAAGUCAACCACGCUUUCCAGAGGGUUCAGGGACGGGUGUUCAUUUUUGAGGGACAAUCGGGGACUGGCAGUCUUGGCUGCCUGCUGGUCGCUGUCGUGCUUCUGGGGGGAGGGCUGAGCAACUUCCCUGACCCCAAAAGCUCCAGCCGUGCUCUGAGGCUGGCCCGGUGCCAAUACGCUUCCUGUAGCUGAUAUAUUUUUAUCUCAUCCUCGGAAUCAGCGACACCACCAACUGCAACACCAGCUGCAGGGGAGAAGAGAACCUCUGCCAGAUCAGCCAGCACAGCGCCCUAAGAUAAGGUCCAUAUGGCUUGUACCUGAGAGCUCCCUGACUCAAGUGCUUUGCCUAGAUGAGCCUGGGAUGCUUUGAUCCGGAGCCAGGUCCCUGCUGCGCCAGCAACACAGCACAGCCCCAGAGCCCAGCACCGAGGCCCAGGUCCUGGCUCCGGAGGCCCCUCCAGCGCUGGCCCGCAGCGGCAGCCAGACCCUCCUCAGGAAAGGACCCACGCCAGAUCAAAGUUUCUUAGAGCACACAAGGAUCCAUUGUUUCAAGAACUGCUACAAAUUAGCAGUUGCAGUUAAAAUAAAGGGUGGAGGUAUUUUUCUUAGCCUCAUUUAAAACUGUUUGGAGUAAUUAUCCUGAAGUACAUUGAUAAAAUAGAAGUCCCUUAAGGGCUGCCAAUUCUGUAGGGAUCCCAUUCAGCCCCACAUUGUUGUCGGAUAUCUGAUCAGGACAUGAUGAUGUGUUGGAGGCAGAGUGGAGCUAAACUGAACUAACUGCUCACCGAAAGACAACUUCCAUUGCCUCUGGCAGCUUUAAGGAGUUUUAGUGGCUGCACCCAUGGAUUUCUCCCAGAGUUAAUGAGGAAAGAGGACCCACUAUAUACCCAGCACGAAGUGGGAAGGGAGGCAUCCCUCCGGCAUGCAGAUGUCUAAACUAGAUCCUUCACCCAUGCCUGAACCCCUCUGCGAUUCUGGAUGUACAAAAGGCAAAAUGUAGAUUACAUGGUCAGAAGGCUAUGCUGGUUUUGCCUGGGAUAGAGUUAAUUUUCUUCAGAGUAGCUAUUAUGAGGCUAUGUUUUGGAUCUGUACUGAAAACAGUGUUGAUAACACAGAGAUGUUUUCAUUACUGCUGAGCAGUGCUUACACAGAGCCAAGGCCUUUUCUGCUUCUCACCCCACCCCACCAGUGAGGAUGCUGGGGGGGGCACAAGAAUUUGGGAGGGGACACAGCUGGGACAGCUGACCCCAACUGACCAAAGGGAU